GUGUGUGAAUCGUAGUGCAGAGCAGGGAGUAGAGAUAACUUUUAUUUAUUUAUUUAUUUUUAAAUGACACUGAUCUCAGGUUUUGUCUGCUUGCCCAAUCAAUAAAAUACACAUUGGGUAACUUGUGGGGUUUUUUUCUCAUGAAUGACACCAGAAUCUCUGUCUGUUUUGGUUAUAAAAUUGUUGUUAGAGUGCCAGGUUACAGCAAAGAGGAUGAAAAAUUUGAUUUCUGAAGUUCACAGAAGAAAAAAUACCUAGUUUAAACACUGCUGCAGUGGAAGUAACGUCCAGCUGAGAUGGCUGGUACCACCAUAAUUAAUCUCCCCUUUGUCUGUGAGAGGAGAAGAAGAGUUACAGAUAAAGCCAGUUUCUCAGAGCAGACAGCUGACUCGAUCUGGGACUCAUUCCCAAAGAAGACAACAGAACUUUGGAGGAGUCCUGGGUCUCUACCAUGAAAAAGGAGAGUUGAAGCUGCUGUGUUGCUAGUGGGGUACCUGUUUGUGCUUUUCUGGUACAGCCUUGCUGGAUGAGUACCCAGAGAACAGUGUGGGAGAGCUCUGCAGUGUGUCUUACAGGGCAGUUUGCUCUGGUGUUAAGACUCUGUGCAGAAGAGCUUAGCAGUGACCUCGUAGUUGUGAGGACUCUUUGGAGAGGCCAGUGUACUCAUCUGCAGCUUUUGCAUGAGAUGACGAUCUGA
Haliaeetus leucocephalus (bald eagle) is the source of this 697-nucleotide long non-coding RNA. RefSeq lists it as uncharacterized. The transcript has 3 exons. NCBI's taxonomy places the organism in Eukaryota, Metazoa, Chordata, Aves, Accipitriformes, Accipitridae. The record is from RefSeq and is a predicted model, not a curated record.